ACGCGUCUCAGCACUUUUUUUCUCACAAUCUUUCAUACCAUACUGCUAACGGAACAGUUACAUUCAGCUGUUUUUCGAGACGCCGCGCACACGUACUUCUACACACUAACAUUCACAUACGUGUGUCACUACUACGCGGCUAAUCUAGUCUAGCACACAAAAUUAUGCAUAUCUCAACAAGGAUAAUACUACCGUAUAUUCAUUGUUGCAACCAUUUAUAAAUUUGGAGCACAUAGAUAACAUGGACAAUUAUUAUAACAGUGUACACAAAUUGCAGAGGAAUUAUUUCGAGAAAAAAAGAAAUGAUCGAAUCACCAUGAACAUAUGGUAUGACAUUAUGAAGCACAAACUGCUUAAUCCAAACGAAGAAGCCGAUCUUCAGCAUCCGAACUGUACAGCGUGAAAGCUAUAUUAUAGAUGAUUCCUGAAAUCUCUAAAGGAGAAGGGGGCGGACGCUUUAAAAGCCAAGGAA
Molecule: unclassified non-coding RNA, 472 nt
Filed under: Bombus terrestris (buff-tailed bumblebee)
Lineage: Eukaryota; Metazoa; Arthropoda; Insecta; Hymenoptera; Apidae
Description: misc RNA ENSBTSG00005021158.1
Source: RNAcentral